This 497-nucleotide ribosomal RNA is filed under the name uncultured bacterium. RNAcentral's name for it is "partial 16S ribosomal RNA". It matches the Rfam family "Bacterial small subunit ribosomal RNA", at positions 28 to 507 of the family's 1533-position model. The record is from RNAcentral.
GAUGAACGCUGGCGGCGUGCCUAAUACAUGCAAGUCGAGCGAACGGACGAGAAGCUUGCUUCUCUGAUGUUAGCGGCGGACGGGUGAGUAACACGUGGAUAACCUACCUAUAAGACUGGGAUAACUUCGGGAAACCGGAGCUAAUACCGGAUAAUAUUUUGAACCGCAUGGUUCAAAAGUGAAAGACGGUCUUGCUGUCACUUAUAGAUGGAUCCGCGCUGCAUUAGCUAGUUGGUAAGGUAACGGCUUACCAAGGCAACGAUGCAUAGCCGACCUGAGAGGGUGAUCGGCCACACUGGAGCUGAGACACGGUCCAGACUCCUACGGGAGGCAGCAGUAGGGAAUCUUCCGCAAUGGACGAAAGCCUGACGGAGCAACGCCGCGUGAGUGAUGAAGGACUUCGGAUCGUAAAACUCUGUUAUUAGGGAAGAACAUAUGUGUAAGUAACUGUGCACAUCUUGACGGUACCUAAUCAGAAAGCCACGGCUAACUACGUG